CGAUAACUCAAGAACGCUUGGGCCUAGGAUCAUGAAACUUCAUAGGUACAUUGAUCAUGACUCGCAGAUGACCCCUAUUGAUUUUGAGUUCACUAGGUCAAAAGUCAAGGUCACGGUGACCAGAAAUAGUAAAAUGGUUUUUGAAUGAUAACUCAAUAACGCAUACGCCUAGGAUCAUAAAACUUCAUGGGUAGAUUGAUCAUGACUUGCAGAUGACCCCUAUUGAUUUUGAGGUCACUACGUCAAAGGUCAAGGUCACGGUCACGGUGACCCGAAAUAGGAAAAUGAUUUUCGGAUGAUAACUCAAGAACGCUUUUGCCUAGGAUCAUGACACUUCAUAGGUACAUUGAUCGUGACUCGCAGAUGACCCCUAUUGAUUUUCAGGUCACUAGGUCAAAGGUCAAGUUCACAGUGACAAAAAUCGUAUUCACACAAUGGCUGCCACUACAACGGACAGUCCAUAUGGGGGGCAUGCAUGUUUUACAAACAGCCCUUGUUUCUUAUAUGGCUUUACUGUAUGGUAAAACCUUGUUAACACUCUAGAAGUCACAUUUGUGGUCCAAUGCUCAUGAAACUUGGUCAGAAUAUUUGAACUAAUAAUAUCUGGGCUAAGUUCAAAAAUGGUUGAGAUCAGUUAAAAGACAUGGUUGCAAGGGGGCGUGGCAUUUUUCCGUAAAUGGCUAUUUACUACAAAACCUUGUUAACACUCUAGAAGUCACAUUUAUUAUCCAAUCUUUAUGAAACUUGAUCUGAACAUUUGUUCUAACAAUAGCUUGAGUGAGUUUAAAAAUGGUUAUGGAUUGUUGAAAAACACGGCCGCCAGGGGGGGGGGGCAGUUGUCCUUAUAUGGCUUUAGUGAAAACUUGUUGACACUAUAUUAGCCACAUUUAUUGGCCAAUCUUCAUGAAACUUGGUCAGAACAUUUGUCCCAAUGAAAUUUUGCCAGAGAUUGAAGCUGGGUCAUAUGAGCUCAAAAACUAGGUCACAAGGUCAAAUAUAAAAAAACAUGUUAAAAGUCACUUUUUUGGUCCAAAAUAAUCUUCAUGAAUCAGCUUGCAUUUUUUUCAGAAUAGUCUAGUUCCUUUGGCUUUCAGGUGAGCGCCUUAGGGCCUGAUGGCCCUCUUGUCUUAUUUUUGAAAGAUAAUCUAAUAAAUGACCACCCCCACCACAUGAUACCCCCUCUCCACCCCAACCCACCACCUCCCACCAAAAAAAGAUUUUUUUUUUGAAACAUUGUAAAACUUGAAAAAAAAUCUUAUUACUUUGUUUUAUAUCUUUACAAAUGUUCAAUAGAUUGUAGAAAAUAUACCUGAACUCAGAAUCGUCUAUAAAGUACAACUUCUUUAAAACAUAAGCGAUCGAUAUGUUUCAAUUAUGGUCCUCUUCCACUUAGAAUAUGACUAUAUUACCUUGACCUUAUUGCAUAUGAACAAUUUCCCAUUGAUGGCUUAUGUUAUACUGUCAAGCACUCGAAUAGUCAAGCGCGCUGUCUUCUGACAGCUCUUGUUAUUAUUUGCUUUCUAACUUUUCUAUUGUAACACAGCUCAGUCUGUAUUGGACACCAUGCCAAACAGAUCACAGUUUAAUAAGCUACUAAAUUGCAUAUGACCAAACUUAAUCAGUAUAACUUGGAACUAAUAAAUAUUGAUAUUACAUUUAUGUUCCGGGCAAUUAUUUUUUAUGCUCCCCCAAAAUUUAUUUUUGGGGGAGCAUAUAGUCGCCGCUUUGUCUGUCUGUGUGUGCGUCUGUCUGUCCGUCCGUGCACAAUUUUUGUCUGCGCUAUUUCUCAGCAACUAAUGACCGGAAUUCAAUAAAACUUAAUGGGAAGCUCCAUUACCAAGAGGAGAUGUGCAUAUUAUCAGCGGGUUCUGGUCGGAUGAUUUUUCACAGAGUUAUGGCCCUCUGAAAUUUUUGAAAUUUCCAUUAACUGUUCAUAUAGUGCAAUUCUUGUCCGGGCUAUUUCUCAGCAACAAAUGACCGGAAUUCAAUGAAACUUUACGGGAAGCUUCACUACCAAGAGGAGAUGUGCAUAUUAUCAGCGGGUUCUGGUCGGAUGAUUUUUCACAGAGUUAUGGCCCUUUGAAAUUUUCUAUAAAAAAUUCUUGUCCCCCCAACUACUGUGCCCUCAAGAUGUUUCCUUUUAUCUGAAUAUAUAGUGCAAUAUUGUGACAAAAAAAAAUCUUUGGGGAGCAUCAUCCGUCUCUUGCAAAAAGUUAACCCACUUUCAUACCAAAACACACUUAAACCAACAUAAAACUGUGUUUUUUCUAAGUUUUUCUGAGCAGAAGUUGGUUUUUGCUAAUAAAAGCGAGUUUUAUGUGAGUUUAAAGUUGGUUUUUUAAAGUAGAUGUGUGUUAAAGCCAGUUUUUUUGCUUUAAGAAGUUGGUUUUGUGUGUGUCAAAAGUGAGUCUUUUUAUUUAUGAGUUGGUUUAUGUGUGUUUAAGUGUGUUUUUUUGUUUCAUAAGCGAGUCUUUUACAACAGAAGUUGGUCUUUUUAUAAACAGAAGUGGGUUUAAGCGAGUUUAAGUUGGUCUUUUUAUAAAUCAUUUGAGAGCCGCAACAAGGCUAAAAGACUCACUUUAACACACUUUUCAAUAAGUUGGUCUUUCGUUUAUUAAUAUAACUCAACAAUGAAACAAUAAUUCUUCAACUAGGUCUUUGUUUCAUGUUUAUAGCCAUAUAUUAUCAAGGUGAAUUGUAAAGGGGCUUUUUUACAGCUUGUUUGCCAUUGCACCUUUUGUACAUUUGUGGGCUCCCCAUAAUUUUAAGGAAAUAUUGGAUGAACAUUGCUCUUUCAGAACAUCACAGGUUCACAGAUGGACAACAAGUAUCACUGCCAAAGACUAUAAAAAUGUUAAAAUGUUCAAACUUAGUUUUAUACCUGAAUAUGAAAUGGUUUGUCUUACACUUUGAAUCAAUAAAUAACUAUUAAAUAUAAUAUAAGAACAAUCACACAUCUAUAAAAAUGUGAAUACUUCCAUUUAAUUCAUGUUCUUUGGAGAAUUCAAUAGACUAACAGUAUGUUUUUUUAUUCAUUUUUUUUUUGGGGGGGGGGGAGGCCUGACACUGUUUCUAUAAUAAAUAAAACUAGUUUCAGUGUGAAAGUGUUGAUUAAUAUAUGGAAACUUAUGUGGGCUUGCCAGCAUCCAUUAUAUCUCCUCAACAUAAAAACAAUAACUAUUUUAACUUUCUUAUACUGAUAUUUAACCCCAAUACAAUUAAUGCCUACCACAUUGACCUUUAACAUACAAUUUAAAAGGCAAUAAAAAUAAUAUUUAUAAUAUUAUUAUUUGCUAACACCAUUCAGCAUGCUAUAUUGAUUAUUCAUCAAGGGUGAAGCUAAGGGUGCUGGGUAUUAUUCAAUAAAUAUGUUGGUGUUGAAAUCAGUGGAUAUUUCUCAGAUUUAGUAAUUGGCUGACACACAUAAGAGAUUAGCCCCCCCCCCCAUUAAAUCAUAAACAUUAAUCCCUAUCAGUGCUCCAACUAUAGGCCUAACAAAGGGGUGUUGAUAGACUUUUGAUUGGUUCAGCCACCAUCUAUUUGAAAACAAGCGAGUUUGAUUGGCUGGAGACAGGAAGUUAUUUUUUGUAAACAAAGGGAGUUUUCAGCAACUGACUUUUAGCUAAAUUUAAGGUAUAAUUGAGUAACAUUAAGACUUAUAAUUCUAGUUUAAAAUGUCUUGAAAUACUUUCAGCAUGAAGUUUUGUGUGAUGAAAAUAAUGUGUAUUUACUACAAUGUGUAAAUCAACAAUAAGUUUGUUGCAAAGGAGAUUCAAAGUGGGUGGUUAAAGUGCUAUGGUCUCAUAAUUCAUCAACUGCCUGUUUUCUUGGAAUACUGAAGAACAGUUGUUUAAGGUUUGUAUUUUCAUUUUUGCAUCCCUUUUUUAUUUAGUUUUAUAUUGAAUUAAUUAUUAUCAUUAUCAUAUAUAUGUUUUGUCACUGGGAAAUGUAAAUGGAUAAGUAUAAAUGUAAUGCAAUUAUAAGGAAAAACAACACCAUUUGAAUUAUUAUGGCUGUAUUUUAUGGUUAUUGUCAUCUUAAAUGUUAUUUAUACCAUACAUGCCAGACGUCCCGAUCUCGGCGGGACAGUCCCGCUUUUGGGCCCUUUGUCCCGCCGUCCCGAUAUGAGAUGAUUUGUCCCGACAUUCGUAAAAAACGAGGUAAGGUCUAUAGGUUCACAAUAAAAUUCGCUAUUCAAGCUCUGUUUCGCUAACACUUACCACCGCUAAUCCCUUUAUUGCCCCCAAUUAACAAUCCGAUUCUACUUCUCGUGUGUACCAGUGUUGUUUAUGACACCUUAUCAGCGAUUUAUCGGCUAAAUAUUGAUUUUAUCAAGCAUUCACACCAUGGUGGUCUUCAAGAUAGCGGUCGCUUAUUUCUAUCGAUAGUUGUAUAAUAAAUUAAUGAAAUAAAUGUUGAAAAUGUGUUUGUUUUUGUCUUUGUUUUAAAUGGUUUACAAAACAAUUGUUUUGUAAAAUUAACUCUAUGUCAUUAAUGAGUCUACUCCAAUUACGCCGCGACAAUUGACAAGUAACAAACUGCGCAUAGAUACAUGCUUAAAAAACAUUGCAUUCCGUGUCAAGCUGAUGUAACUGUUCUGUAGAUAGUUUACUGUAACACGUACUUUCAGUGUACUGGAUAGCCUCCCCUGCGUUACGAUGUUUGCCAUUGAAAGUAAUAUAAUAUGUAUUGUUGUUGUAAUGUUCCAGAUUUUGUACUAAAAAGAUUAAUAUUAUCUUCAUUGUUUGCUAUUGCCUUAUGUUAUAAAACUGUUAUUGUUAUGGUUUAGAUUUCAUGCUUUAUAUCAGAUGUUUUAUGUCUUGAAUAAAAGUAUCAAAGUUUUUGUUGGUACUAUACUGACUACAGUAAAGAUGGAAUGAUAGAUCGUUUUAGGUGUCCUGCUUUUUGGUCAAAUGUCCCGACAAUUUUUUAUGGAAUGUCCCGCUUUGGACCUGAAAAAUUCUGGCAUGUAUGUUUAUACCUAUUUCUGGUCAUUAAUGAACAGAUUUCUUUCCCACAUAUUCAAUGAGAACUUUUAUAUUUUAAAUUUGAAGGUGAAACUCCCAAGGUGAAAUUUACAUUGAUUGGAAGAUUAUUUGGAUAGAAUAUGCAUCAUAGCCUGCCAAAAAAGAGAGCAAAAGGGGGACUAACUGAUGUAUGGACUUUGAUACCAGGUUUUACCCUGCACGAGCAGGCCAACUCGAGGAGAUCAGGAGUGGGAAAACCGAGCCCUGUCCUUGACCAAGAAAAGUUGGAUUUGUUGAGAGGACCUGAUCUCAAAUGAGAUCAUGCACGAGACGCACCACACAAAGGCCAUGACAGUAUAGUUUUCAGACCUGAUCAGCUGGUGACUGCUCUAUGAAGUGUCGUUCAACCUCCCCUUAGGGGGGAUUCGAGAGGGUCUUCUGAUUGCCGAAAACUGCGCCAUUGUUGAUGUCAUCUCCUUAAAAAUUGCCCUGACCAUUUCAACAGUGUGGCAGAAAAAAUGAGAUGGGCCUUGAGGAGGCUUCAUGUCAUGUACUGCGCGGAGAAUAUAUGAGCUGUGUAGUGCUGAGGAAUUUGUUGCGUUUGUAUAUAGUUGUAAAUAUGUGUAAAGGGCUAUUCCAGAAAAAAAUAGUAACACACAAAAAACCAACAUACCGAAACUCACAAAAAACCAACAUACCAAAACCCACAAAAAACCAACAAACCAAAACCCACAAAAAACCAACAUACCAAAACCCACAAAAAACCAACAUACCAAAACCACAAAAAACCAACUUACCAAAACCCACAUAUGUGUACCAAGUGAGUUUUUUCUGUGUUUUACUCAGUUUUAACCAAGUUGGUAAAAAUACCCACUUUAAACACAGAAAAAACCAAUUUACAUAAACUCACAAAAACCAACAUACCAAAACCCACUAAAAACCAACUUACCAAAACCAACAAAAAAACAACCUACCGAAACCCACUUUGGUACCAAGUGAGUUUUUUCUGUGUUUU
Molecule: long non-coding RNA, 5982 nt
Organism: Dreissena polymorpha
Lineage: Eukaryota; Metazoa; Mollusca; Bivalvia; Myida; Dreissenidae
Exons: 3
Source: RefSeq, a predicted model, not a curated record